GAUGAACGCUGGCGGCGUGCCUAACACAUGCAAGUCGAACGGACAGACCAUGAGCUUGUGCCUUUCACGUUAGCGGAGGGCGGGAGAGUAACGCGUGUAUCACCUACUUAUAUUUCGGGGAUAAUCACGGAACACCGGAUAUAAUACCGUAUAAUAUAUUGAACCGCAGGGUGCAAUAGUAAAUUUCGGCUUUGGUGUCUGUAAUAGCUGGAUCCGGGCUGCAUGAGAUGGUUGGUAAGGUCACGGCCUAUCAAGGCGACGAUGCGUAGCCGAGCUGAGAGGGUGAUCGGCCACAUGGGAACUGAGACACGGUCAAUACGACUACGGUACGCAGCAGUAGGGAAUCGGCGGCAAUGGGCGGAAGCCUGACACAGCAAGGCGGAGUGUGUGAUGAAGGCCCUCGGUUCGUAAAGCCCGGUUUUUGGGGAAGAACAGCUUUGUCCUGAGACGUGGCCGUCUUGACGGUACCGAAUCAAGAAGCACCGGCUAACUACGUG
This 497-nucleotide ribosomal RNA is filed under the name uncultured bacterium. RNAcentral's name for it is "partial 16S ribosomal RNA". It matches the Rfam family "Bacterial small subunit ribosomal RNA", at positions 28 to 507 of the family's 1533-position model. The record is from RNAcentral.